UUAGUUUCAUUUUUUUUAUUCUUAUACUAAUUGGCAACUAGUAAAUACCUACUAAGUUGUAAAUUAGUUUUUGAAUACGUUUCUUUCGUGUCUUCGUUAUUUGUGUGCUUUUCUCGUUUGUAACUCGUAGUAACUUCUUUAUUUCAAGUUCAUAAGUGAAUUUUGUUUUGUGUUUUGAGUCAAUCAAAACAAGAAUCCAUUCCGGUCGCCAAGUAG
Molecule: long non-coding RNA, 216 nt
Filed under: Capsicum annuum
Lineage: Eukaryota; Viridiplantae; Streptophyta; Magnoliopsida; Solanales; Solanaceae
Description: long non-coding RNA (CANN_LNC016372)
Source: RNAcentral